Molecule: long non-coding RNA, 2193 nt
Filed under: Phaseolus vulgaris (common bean)
Lineage: Eukaryota; Viridiplantae; Streptophyta; Magnoliopsida; Fabales; Fabaceae
Description: long non-coding RNA (PVUL_LNC002420)
Source: RNAcentral
ACUUCAAGUGCAGGAUCGACAACUUCAUGCCGAGGAGUGACAUCACUUAUUUUAUUCAGAAACUUGGUAAAGUAAGACCGUGCUCUCGGAUUGAUAGCCGCCUUCAAACCUGAAAGUUAAUAAAACAUUUAGCAAAGUUAAAAUAUCUGCUAUAAAAAAACAAGUGAAACAAGCACAUACCAAUAAAAUCUUUGAGAUUUUUUUGACGUGUACAGUCAUAACAAAGCGCGAGUGGGAAUCUGGUGUGUGAAGUGAUCGAAAACUUCGAUUAUAAGCCGAUCAGCAGCAUCUAUUGAAUGGUAUGACCACGAAUUAAAUUUCAAAGGUUGGUCAAUUCAAUACAAAGGGAAUUUUGGAUAUCUCCAUCAAAAAAGUAUUUCUUUCAUUCUUCUAUCAAAAUCUUUAAAAAAACCUCUUUAAGUCUUUAUACGAAAAAGUAAAGGGUUUAAGAAAACAAAAUCUAAGUUUACUAAUCAAGGACAAUCAUCGUUUGUCAGGCCGAAAAUUAUAGUAAUACAAAAAAGAUUUCCUACUAGAAAAAAGUGAUAGUAAUUUACUAUCACGCAAUAUAGUUACUACUAGGAAAAAGUGAUAGUAAAACCUUGAAUGGAAACCAACCAUUCGAAAAUAAGUUAAUUCAAACACUCAAGAUACAAUUUUUCAUGCAUCAAUCAUUUCACUUUCUAUUAGGGUACUUUGAUAUUUUUUCCUUCAUAAUUACUUACAAAAUCCUGCACAUAAAAUCUAUAAUAAAAAUUAAUAAUAACAAAAUUAAAAAAUUAUUGCGUAGAAUUGCAGGACAUACCAGAAAAAGGUUGAAUAGGAAGAGAAAAAGGAGAUGGUCGAGGAGGUAAACGCAUUGAACCUUGGUUAUCAAACUCGCGAGUAUAGUAGACUCCACUCGUAAAAUGAAAAAAAAAUUUAAAAAUAUUUACUCCAAGUUUUUCCAAUUAAAAAAGAAAGCACUGCAAACAAAAAAUAUCUGCACCUCAAUUAAAUAAAAGAACCCAGUUUAGUGCGGCCCAAUAGAAAAACCCAAUAUGCAGUCCAAUAAAAAAAAGCCCUAAUUUCCUAAAUCACACUACAGAAACCCUAAUUCCAACACCAUCCAUCUCAAUAAUCUUAUAUGAUGAACAACACCACUGUCGACCUGCCACUGCAACCACCACAACCACCGCAACCGCACGAUCGGACGAACCACCACUACCGCACGACCGGACGAACCACCACAAUCGCGCGACCUCUUCUGCAGAAUCACCACCACCGUGGGACCUGCUCCGCUUGAUUGCCACCACCGCCGCACUUGUUCAGAGAAGACGUUUGACCUCCGCACUCCAGAGAAGACGCAACACCAUCAAAACGAAACUCGAACAAAACGAAACUCGAACCCUAAAUGCACAGUUCUGGGUUAAAACAAAAACCCAGUUGAACUCGUCAACUCGGAGCAGACUCGCGAGUUUGAACGAGUUCACCGAGUUCAUUCCGAGUCUGCCAAGUUUACUCUAAAACCGAGUUUACUACCGAGUUAACUCGGUAAGGGUAUCUGGACACGUAAACUCGGACGAGUCAACGAGUUGACUCGCGAGUUUGAUAACCAUGACAUUAAUUAAUCAUUAUUUCUGACUUUUGGUUAACUGUUAGUCCCUCUUUGAGAAUGACAACCAUUAUUUUAAAUUUGUUAGUUCUUUCUAACUUGGAAUUAUGUUUGCUAGGAAAUCUCAAAUUCUGAUCUCCUUGUUCGUUACCAAAUAUUAUUUUUCACUCUCUUGUUAUUUAUGUUUCUUAAUGUGCAGCAAAUUAACCAAUGCAUCAAUAAAAGUCAUUGCUGAGCACUGUCCUGGGUUGGGUGCACUCAAACUUGUGUAUUUGGACAACUUGACGGAUUUAUCCAUGGGAUAUCUUACAAAUAGCUGUCGAGUACUCCAUACAUUGAAGCUCUGCCAUAAUCCAUUCAGGUGCUUUUUUGUUUUCUACUAUUUUCUCUUUCUCUUUAUACAUUUGCACAUUACUUUUGCUAGUUUCUGAUAUUUUCUGUCUCAUUAUAAGUUUGCUAUAAUCUGUCUUAUCUUUGCAAGAUAGAUUCUUUUGUAGGAGGUUACAGCUUUUAAAUAAGAUGAUUAUCUUUGUUCCUGUGGUAAUAUGAAUUCUAUGUAGGAGUGGUUAAUUAAUAAUUAUAAUUUCAAAUUUGUUUUG